AGAGUUUGAUCAUGGCUCAGAUUGAACGCUGGCGGCAUGCCUUACACAUGCAAGUCGAACGGCAGCGCGGGAGCAAUCCUGGCGGCGAGUGGCGAACGGGUGAGUAAUACAUCGGAACGUGCCCAAUCGUGGGGGAUAACGCAGCGAAAGCUGUGCUAAUACCGCAUACGAUCUACGGAUGAAAGCAGGGGACCGCAAGGCCUUGCGCGACUGGAGCGGCCGAUGGCAGAUUAGGUAGUUGGUGGGGUAAAGGCUCACCAAGCCUUCGAUCUGUAGCUGGUCUGAGAGGACGACCAGCCACACUGGGACUGAGACACGGCCCAGACUCCUACGGGAGGCAGCAGUGGGGAAUUUUGGACAAUGGGCGCAAGCCUGAUCCAGCCAUGCCGCGUGCAGGAUGAAGGCCUUCGGGUUGUAAACUGCUUUUGUACGGAACGAAAAGGUUCUCUCUAAUAAAGAGGGCUCAUGACGGUACCGUAAGAAUAAGCACCGGCUAACUACGUGCCAGCAGCCGCGGUAAUACGUAGGGUGCAAGCGUUAAUCGGAAUUACUGGGCGUAAAGCGUGCGCAGGCGGUUAUGUAAGACAGUUGUGAAAUCCCCGGGCUCAACCUGGGAACUGCAUCUGUGACUGCAUAGCUAGAGUACGGUAGAGGGGGAUGGAAUUCCGCGUAGCAGUGAAAUGCGUAGAUAUGCGGAGGAACACCGAUGGCGAAGGCAAUCCCCUGGACCUGUACUGACGCUCAUGCACGAAAGCGUGGGGAGCAAACAGGAUUAGAUACCCUAGUAGUCC
RNAcentral lists this ribosomal RNA (791 nucleotides) under uncultured bacterium. RNAcentral's name for it is "bacterial SSU rRNA". It matches the Rfam family "Bacterial small subunit ribosomal RNA", at positions 8 to 796 of the family's 1533-position model. The record is from RNAcentral.